RNAcentral lists this transfer RNA (72 nucleotides) under Ovis aries (sheep). It matches the Rfam family "tRNA". Rfam says of the family: Transfer RNA (tRNA) molecules are approximately 80 nucleotides in length. Their secondary structure includes four short double-helical elements and three loops (D, anti-codon, and T loops). Further hydrogen bonds mediate the characteristic L-shaped molecular structure. tRNAs have two regions of fundamental functional importance: the anti-codon, which is responsible for specific mRNA codon recognition, and the 3' end, to which the tRNAs corresponding amino acid is attached (by aminoacyl-tRNA synthetases). tRNAs cope with the degeneracy of the genetic code in two manners: having more than one tRNA (with a specific anti-codon) for a particular amino acid; and 'wobble' base-pairing, i.e. permitting non-standard base-pairing at the 3rd anti-codon position. Lineage: Eukaryota; Metazoa; Chordata; Mammalia; Artiodactyla; Bovidae. The record is from Rfam by way of RNAcentral.
UCCCUGGUGGCUCAGAUGGUAAAGAAUCUGCCUGCAACGCAGAAGAGCUGGCUUCAAUCCCUGGCUUGGGAA